GUUUCCCUGGGGUUCUCGUGAUUGUCGAUUGAUUUUUGUACCUUUCUCAAAAAUCGGGAGCCGCUUCCCCGGACCGGUGCGCAUGCCCGCGCGAGCGGGGAGCCUGAUGGCCGGACAGCAGCGCCCACCUUGCAUGCAAGGUUCAAAAAAGUCGACGACACGGCUCUCCGGGGUUUGA
This 178-nucleotide non-coding RNA is filed under the name Desulfovibrionaceae bacterium. Its description in RNAcentral is "6S RNA". It matches the Rfam family "6S / SsrS RNA". From Rfam's summary of the family: E. coli 6S RNA was the first non coding RNA to be sequenced, but its function was unknown until recently. It consists of 184 nucleotides that fold into an extended hairpin structure with a large single-stranded internal bulge. Lineage: Bacteria; Pseudomonadati; Thermodesulfobacteriota; Desulfovibrionia; Desulfovibrionales; Desulfovibrionaceae. The record is from RNAcentral.